GACUUGGCGGUGCGGCCGGCCCCGUGUGGGUCGUUGCUAGUGCCGCGAGGUCAUCCUCGGGGAAUGCGUGUCUGUCAUUCAGUUGAUGGGCACGAGUACCCCGUCAUUUACUGUGAGCAAAAUAGCGUGUUCAAAGCAGGCUUACGCCGUUGAAUACAUUAGCAUGGAAUAAUAAGAUAGGACCUUGGUCUAUUUUGUUGGUUAGUACUCCAAGGUA
RNAcentral lists this ribosomal RNA (217 nucleotides) under uncultured fungus. RNAcentral describes it as "partial small subunit ribosomal RNA". Lineage: Eukaryota; Fungi. The record is from RNAcentral.